This 445-nucleotide ribosomal RNA is filed under the name uncultured organism. Its description in RNAcentral is "bacterial SSU rRNA". It matches the Rfam family "Bacterial small subunit ribosomal RNA", at positions 346 to 784 of the family's 1533-position model. The record is from RNAcentral.
GCGCAGCAGUCGAGAAUUUUUCUCAAUGGGGGAAACCCUGAAGGAGCGACGCCGCGUGGAGGAUGAAGGCUUUCGGGUUGUAAACUCCUGUCAUUUGAGAACAAGUGGCCGAACGUAACUACUUCGGCCUUGAUAGUAUCAGAAAAGGAAGGGACGGCUAACUCUGUGCCAGCAGCCGCGGUAAUACAGAGGUCUCAAGCGUUGUUCGGAUUCAUUGGGCGUAAAGGGUGCGUAGGUGGCGCCGUAAGUCGGGUGUGAAAUUUCGGAGCUUAACUCCGAAACUGCAUUCGAUACUGCGGUGCUUGAGGACUGGAGAGGAGACUGGAAUUUACGGUGUAGCAGUGAAAUGCGUAGAGAUCGUAAGGAAGACCGGUGGCGAAGGCGGGUCUCUGGACAGUUCCUGACACUGAGGCACGAAGGCCAGGGGAGCAAACGGGAUUAGAUA